This 512-nucleotide ribosomal RNA is filed under the name uncultured bacterium. Its description in RNAcentral is "bacterial SSU rRNA". It matches the Rfam family "Bacterial small subunit ribosomal RNA", at positions 791 to 1296 of the family's 1533-position model. The record is from RNAcentral.
UAGUCCACGCCGUAAACGAUGUCAACUAGCCGUCGGGCUCAUUAUAAGGGUUUGGUGGCGCAGCGUAACGCGAUAAGUUGACCGCCUGGGGAGUACGCCGGCAACGGUAAAACUCAAAGGAAUUGACGGGGGCCCGCACAAGCGGUGGAGCAUGUGGUUUAAUUCGAUGCAACGCGAAGAACCUUACUUACCCUUGACAUCCUCAGAACUUGUUAGAGAUAACUUGGUGCCACCUUUGGGUGGAACAGAGUGACAGGUGCUGCAUGGCUGUCGCCAGCUCGUGCUGUGAGGUGUUCGGUUAAGUCCGGCAACGAGCGCAACCCCUGCCGUUAGUUACCAGCAUUUAGUUGGGACUCUAGCGGGACUGCCGGUGAUAAACCGGAGGAAGGUGGGGACGACGUCAAGUCCUCAUGGCCCUUAUGUCUGGGGCUACACACGUGCUACAAUGGCAUCUACAGAGGGCAGCAAAGCCGCGAGGUGGAGCAAAUCCCACAAAAGAUGCCUCAGUUCGG